GGUUCCCCGUCUCCCACACACCGUGUGUCACAUUCAUUUGUGCGCAUGGUGCGUGGGGGGAUCGAUGGCAGUCCGUGCAUUCACUUGCACGGUCUGCCCAAAUGACAUGUGGUGCUUCCUUGUGUGGGCGGGUUUAUUCACGUAACCCCGUCCGUUUCAAGCCGCACUCGAGUAUUCAUCUUGUAUGUCUCUCGACCUCGACGGCUAGUAUCGCAAUGAACGUGGCGUGCAGGGACCUCACCGUCUCUGUCGCCAUGCWWYCCUCCACAUARCAUUGGAAACCYAAMACUUUCU
RNAcentral lists this unclassified non-coding RNA (294 nucleotides) under uncultured Chloromonas. RNAcentral describes it as "partial contains ITS2 and 28S rRNA". Lineage: Eukaryota; Viridiplantae; Chlorophyta; Chlorophyceae; Chlamydomonadales; Chlamydomonadaceae. The record is from RNAcentral.